CUUCAGUAAGCAAAUGGAUAAAUCAACUAAUUGGAAUGAUACAGAGAAGAUCAGCAUGGCCCCUUGCACGAGAAUGACAUGCAUAUUCAUGGAGUGUUCCAUAUUUUU
Molecule: small nuclear RNA, 108 nt
Organism: Mustela putorius furo (domestic ferret)
Lineage: Eukaryota; Metazoa; Chordata; Mammalia; Carnivora; Mustelidae
Source: Ensembl